This 402-nucleotide ribosomal RNA is filed under the name uncultured bacterium. RNAcentral's name for it is "bacterial SSU rRNA". It matches the Rfam family "Bacterial small subunit ribosomal RNA", at positions 355 to 774 of the family's 1533-position model. The record is from RNAcentral.
UGGGGAAUCUUGCACAAUGGGGGCAACCCUGAUGCAGCGACGCCGCGUGAGCGAUGAAGCCCUUCGGGGCGUAAAGCUCUUUCGACCGGAACGAUAAUGACGGUACCGGGAGAAGAAGCUGCGGCUAACUACGUGCCAGCAGCCGCGGUAAUACGUAGGCAGCAAGCGUUGUUCGGAGUUACUGGGCAUAAAGAGUGCGUAGGCGGUUUUCUAAGUUCGGUGUGAAAUCUCCCGGCUUAACUGGGAGGGUGCGCCGAAGACUGGGAAGCUGGAGUGUGGGAAAGGCAGGCGGAAUUCCUGGUGUAGCGGUGAAAUGCGUAGAUAUCAGGAGGAACACCGGCGGUGUAGACGGCUUGCUAGACCACAACUGACGCUGAGGCACGAAAGCGUGGGUAGCAAACA